Molecule: unclassified non-coding RNA, 387 nt
Filed under: fungal sp.
Lineage: Eukaryota; Fungi
Description: partial internal transcribed spacer region
Rfam family: Eukaryotic small subunit ribosomal RNA (bases 1-46)
Source: RNAcentral
AAGUCGUAACAAGGUUUCCGUAGGUGAACCUGCGGAAGGAUCAUUAACACGUUAUCCACGUAUCUACCUCUUGCGAACUUUUUACCGUUCAGGAGUCGGCAGACCAGCGUAGAUGAUGGAGGUAGAUGUUACUAUGUCCAGUGGCCGACGCCCUGGUUCUACCUGCCUAACUAACCCCGUGCUAAAAUGUGGUGUAGCAUGUGGGUUGGGUAUUCUGGUUCAUAUGACUCGAAUCAUAGUAGUUUUUAUUCUUAUUAACCCUUUUUACCAAAUUUGUUGAAUUGUGAUGGUCUCUGGAGGUAACACUUCGGCCGACUCACGUUAAUAAAACACUAUACAACUCUUAGCAACGGAUAUCUCGGUUCUCCUAUUGAUGAAGAACGCAGC